Molecule: ribosomal RNA, 248 nt
Filed under: uncultured prokaryote
Description: partial 16S ribosomal RNA
Rfam family: Bacterial small subunit ribosomal RNA
Source: RNAcentral
ACGGAGGGGGCGAGCGUUAUUCAUCAUGAUUGGGCGUAAAGGGUAUGUAGAUGGUAGAAAAUCAUUAUUAAAAACGACAAAAAAAAAUUUGUUAUUUGAUUUUUGAUUGAUCUAUUUGAAAGCUUUGAAGUUAAUAGAAUUACUAAUGUAAAGGUAAAAUUUAACGAGAUUAGUAGGAAUACCAACGGCGAAAGCAAUUUUCUUUAAACUUUGACAUUGAUGUACUAAAGCUCGGGUAUCAAACGGGA